RNAcentral lists this ribosomal RNA (508 nucleotides) under uncultured bacterium. RNAcentral's name for it is "partial 16S ribosomal RNA". It matches the Rfam family "Bacterial small subunit ribosomal RNA", at positions 29 to 523 of the family's 1533-position model. The record is from RNAcentral.
AGUGAACGCUGGCGGCAGGCCUAACACAUGCAAGUCGAACGGCAGCACAGUAAGAGCUUGCUCUUAUGGGUGGCGAGUGGCGGACGGGUGAGGAAUACAUCGGAAUCUACCUUUUCGUGGGGGAUAACGUAGGGAAACUUACGCUAAUACCGCAUACGACCUUCGGGUGAAAGCAGGGGACCUUCGGGCCUUGCGCGAUUAGAUGAGCCGAUGUCGGAUUAGCUAGUUGGUGAGGUAAAAGCUCACCAAGGCGACGAUCCGUAGCUGGUCUGAGAGGAUGAUCAGCCACACUGGAACUGAGACACGGUCCAGACUCCUACGGGAGGCAGCAGUGGGGAAUAUUGGACAAUGGGCGCAAGCCUGAUCCAGCCAUGCCGCGUGGGUGAAGAAGGCCUUCGGGUUGUAAAGCCCUUUUGUUGGGAAAGAAAAGCAGUCGAUUAAUACUCGAUUGUUCUGACGGUACCCAAAGAAUAAGCACCGGCUAACUUCGUGCCAGCCGCCGCGGUAA